Molecule: transfer RNA, 73 nt
Filed under: Stegodyphus mimosarum
Lineage: Eukaryota; Metazoa; Arthropoda; Arachnida; Araneae; Eresidae
Rfam family: tRNA
About the family: Transfer RNA (tRNA) molecules are approximately 80 nucleotides in length. Their secondary structure includes four short double-helical elements and three loops (D, anti-codon, and T loops).
Source: Rfam by way of RNAcentral
GCCUUCGUGGUGUAGUGAUCAGCAAGCUCGGUUUGUAUUUGAGAAGUCCGUGGUUCGAGUCCUGGCGAGGGAA